UACGAGAGGCCCAAACGUUAUUCGGAUUUACUAGGCUUAAAGAGUUCGUAGGCGGUCCAUCAAGUGGGGUGUGAAAUCCCUCGGCUCAACCGAGGAAUUGCGCUCCAAACUGUUGGGCUCGAGGGAGAUAGAGGUGAGCGGAACUGAUGGUGGAGCGGUGAAAUGCGUUGAUAUCAUCAGGAACACCAGAGGCGAAGGCGGCUCACUGGGUCUCUUCUGACGCUGAGGAACGAAAGCUAGGGGAGCAAACGGG
RNAcentral lists this ribosomal RNA (253 nucleotides) under uncultured bacterium. RNAcentral's name for it is "partial 16S ribosomal RNA". It matches the Rfam family "Bacterial small subunit ribosomal RNA", at positions 524 to 776 of the family's 1533-position model. The record is from RNAcentral.